Molecule: ribosomal RNA, 253 nt
Filed under: uncultured bacterium
Lineage: Bacteria
Description: partial 16S ribosomal RNA
Rfam family: Bacterial small subunit ribosomal RNA
Source: RNAcentral
UACGGAGGGUGCAAGCGUUAUUCGGAUUUACUGGGCGUAAAGGGCGCGUAGGCGGUCGUAUAAGUCAGAUGUGAAAGCCCGGGGCUCAACCCCGGAAGCGCAUUUGAUACUGUACGGCUUGAGUAUGGGAGAGGGAAGGGGAAUUCCUGGUGUAGAGGUGAAAUUCGUAGAGAUCGGGAAGAACACCAGUGGCGAAAGCGCUUUGCUGGGCCUGCACUGACACUGAGGGACGAAAGCUAGGGGAGCGAAAGGG